AAAUGCCAAGAACACAGGCAUGGCUUUCAACUUUGGUUUCACCCCGGCCGCUUCUGCGGCUGCGGCGGCCUAAGUAAGCCACCGGCCCUCUGAAGAGGGCCACGGCCCGCCCCGGUGGGGCCAGCAGGCUGGGCGGUCGCCGACAUACACUGUGAGCUGCGGCAGCGGUACGCCGAUAGCGUUGUCUAAGAGAAUCGGCUAGUCGGAGAAGCGCCUCGUGUUGAUCCGAGGCCCGCCGAUGAAUCACAUAAAGAUCAACUAAGCUUGUAGACGUUUCAGGGCGGAUGUUUCGGACGCGGGUUCGAUUCCCGCCAUCUCCACCA
RNAcentral lists this transfer-messenger RNA (323 nucleotides) under Caldilineaceae bacterium. Its description in RNAcentral is "partial transfer-messenger RNA". It matches the Rfam family "transfer-messenger RNA", at positions 89 to 374 of the family's 374-position model. Rfam says of the family: Bacterial tmRNA, also known as 10Sa RNA or SsrA, is named for its dual tRNA and mRNA-like properties. Its role is to liberate the mRNA from a stalled ribosome. To accomplish this part of the tmRNA is used as a reading frame that ends in a translation stop signal. The record is from RNAcentral. Lineage: Bacteria; Bacillati; Chloroflexota; Caldilineae; Caldilineales; Caldilineaceae.